RNAcentral lists this non-coding RNA (30 nucleotides) under Rattus norvegicus (Norway rat). The record is from RNAcentral. Lineage: Eukaryota; Metazoa; Chordata; Mammalia; Rodentia; Muridae.
CUCUCUUGGUGGGAUGCUACUUUCAGAAUC